RNA transcript from Arachis stenosperma, 1794 nucleotides. It is a transcript of the gene named CASP-like protein 2B1, with no coding region annotated. NCBI's taxonomy places the organism in Eukaryota, Viridiplantae, Streptophyta, Magnoliopsida, Fabales, Fabaceae. The transcript is spliced from 6 exons. The record is from RefSeq and is a predicted model, not a curated record.
AUCUUUUACUUCAAUUUUUCUCUCUUCCUUUUGAAACUCUAAAUCCCCCCUUCUGCUUUGUUCUCUCCUCCAUAGCCCACAAACUCAUUCUGGUCCAUAUAAUUGUUGCCCAUCCACGAUCUCUUUAUGGCUCUUCCUGGUUCUCAAAACCUCAUUUCAGUAAGCCAUAUAUCUCCAUCUGAAAUGCCAUCUCUUAAACACCAUUUUCGGCAACCCCCAUCUGGAAACCCUAACUCACCGAGCUGAGCGGAAUCUUCGUCUCAAAUAACAAUCACGGCGAUGGCGCUGUUAGUUUCAGCUGGUGAAAUGCCAGCGAUGCUGGGCGACUAAGAUAUCUGUUGCAUUGUUGAUGCGCUCUCGAACGUCAACAGCCUUGGUGAUACAUGUUGGGUCGAGAUCUCAACCAGCGCUCCCCCGUGAAGAUAUUCUGGAGGUUUAAUUUUAGCAAGAUUAAGAAGAUUGGUUUCCGUAUGUGCUGUUGUGGUAAAAAAACCUCUGCCUUUAUGAUCUUUGGAAGAAAUCUGACCAUUCUGGUAGUUGGUAUAGGUGAUUUGCGGCGUCGCCUCUAUGCCUUGAAUCUUCUCCAUUUCGUUGGAUUCUUGGUAGUUGCGAAUGGUUUGGCUGCUGGAUACUCUUUGAUUCAAGGACUCCGUUGUGUUGUGAGUUUGGUUAGGGGAAGUGUUCUCUUCAACAAGCCCUUAGCUUGGGCCAUUUUCUCUGCUGAUCAGGUCUAGUGUUGAUGAAGAGCUUCGGGUGGUGCUUAUUAAAGGUCAUGUAAAAGCUACUUGAUUGUGAAUGAUAUUCUAACUCAUGAAACUGAAGUUGCUUCACGGCUAAUGAACACGCUCCAGAAAAAGGACCAAUUAUUCUCUGAUUUCGAGAUGUUGGUUUGAUUUUAUGAAUUUUAGAGGGAUAGAGGUAAGAUGCUGUAAGUACAUUAUAAAGAUAUGGCAAAUGAGGUGUCGAACAAUUUCAGGUUCAUGAAAAAAUAAUGGGAUGGUUUAGCACCAAGCAUGUUGAGCUAUUAAACUGGUUUAUUUUAAUAAAAAAAUUGUAACACUAGAGAUAACUUAUGUAGUUGUGGGAUUUUACCAGCCUCUAUGAAUGUCCAAUGUGUGGUAGAGCCAGAGAAUGUACGCCAUCUUUUCUUUAGUUGUAAUGUAGUAUUGAGUCUUUGGGGUGAUGUACUAUAUAAUAUGGGUCUACAUUGUAGAUGAGCUAAAGAAUGCUUCAAGUCAUGGAUUGCGGCACCGAUUCCAGCGAGGUAUAAGUAGCAGUGGGAGAUAAAUACACAGGUUUUGAAAUGGGAGAUAAAGUAUUGGAGUCAAGCUUGGGUGUCGAAUAAAGAAGAGCGCAGGAGAGGAGAAUUUAAAAUUCAAUAAUAUAAUGAUUUGAGGAGUGGAUGAAAUAUGUACAUAUGCUUUGUCUUAUUGUGGUCUUUAUUAUUAUUAUAGGAUGGUUUUUAUCUUCUUUGCUUGAUUUAGAAUAGUAGUUUCUUUAAGUUGUUGUUCUAUUUAGCAAGAUAGUAGUGGGUUUAUGUUUUGCUUUAAGCCUUUGUAACUACUACUGACCUCAUGUCUCUGAUAGGUUUAGUGCGUGAUUUCUUAUUAAAAAAGAUGCAAGCAAGACAAGCUAUUAGCUCUAAGGUUACAGCAAUAGGGGACUAGGGGUAGAAGGUAAUUUUUUUCGGGGGUUAAAUUUCUAUUUUCAUUUUUUUUUAUUGAACAGUUUUAUUGUUUUAACUGCCAUUACUAAUGUUAUUGUCAUUGAUGAUGAUUAUUAGUUUGGGAGAAA